GCAGCCGCGGUAAUACGGAGGGUGCAAGCGUUAAUCGGAAUAACUGGGCGUAAAGGGCAUGCAGGCGGUUAUACAAGUAGGAUGUGAAAGCCUGGGGCUCAACCUCAGAACUGCAUUCUAAACUGUGUGACUAGAGUAUUGCAGGGGGAGACGGAAUUUCAGGUGUAGCGGUGGAAUGCGUAGAUAUCUGAAAGAACACCAAAGGCGAAGGCAGUCUCCUGGGCAAAUACUGACGCUCAUAUGCGAAAGCGUGGGUAGCAAACAGGAUUAGAUACCCC
RNAcentral lists this ribosomal RNA (278 nucleotides) under uncultured Succinivibrio sp. RNAcentral's name for it is "partial 16S ribosomal RNA". It matches the Rfam family "Bacterial small subunit ribosomal RNA", at positions 511 to 788 of the family's 1533-position model. Lineage: Bacteria; Pseudomonadati; Pseudomonadota; Gammaproteobacteria; Aeromonadales; Succinivibrionaceae. The record is from RNAcentral.